UGCAAGUCGAGCGGACAGAUGGGAGCUUGCUCCCUGAUGUUAGCGGCGGACGGGUGAGUAACACGUGGGUAACCUGCCUGUAAGACUGGGAUAACUCCGGGAAACCGGGGCUAAUACCGGAUGGUUGUUUGAACCGCAUGGUUCAAACAUAAAAGGUGGCUUCGGCUACCACUUACAGAUGGACCCGCGGCGCAUUAGCUAGUUGGUGAGGUAACGGCUCACCAAGGCAACGAUGCGUAGCCGACCUGAGAGGGUGAUCGGCCACACUGGGACUGAGACACGGCCCAGACUCCUACGGGAGGCAGCAGUAGGGAAUCUUCCGCAAUGGACGAAAGUCUGACGGAGCAACGCCGCGUGAGUGAUGAAGGUUUUCGGAUCGUAAAGCUCUGUUGUUAGGGAAGAACAAGUACCGUUCGAAUAGGGCGGUACCUUGACGGUACCUAACCAGAAAGCCACGGCUAACUACGUGCCAGCAGCCGCGGUAAUACGUAGGUGGCAAGCGUUGUCCGGAAUUAUUGGGCGUAAAGGGCUCGCAGGCGGUUUCUUAAGUCUGAUGUGAAAGCCCCCGGCUCAACCGGGGAGGGUCAUUGGAAACUGGGGAACUUGAGUGCAGAAAGAGGAGAGUGGAAUUCCACGUGUUAGCG
This 644-nucleotide ribosomal RNA is filed under the name uncultured bacterium. Its description in RNAcentral is "bacterial SSU rRNA". It matches the Rfam family "Bacterial small subunit ribosomal RNA", at positions 56 to 681 of the family's 1533-position model. The record is from RNAcentral.